Molecule: transfer RNA, 76 nt
Filed under: Streptomyces fulvorobeus
Lineage: Bacteria; Bacillati; Actinomycetota; Actinomycetes; Kitasatosporales; Streptomycetaceae
Description: tRNA-Arg
Rfam family: tRNA
About the family: Transfer RNA (tRNA) molecules are approximately 80 nucleotides in length. Their secondary structure includes four short double-helical elements and three loops (D, anti-codon, and T loops).
Source: RNAcentral
GGUCCCGUAGCUCAGUCUGGAUAGAGCGCCGUACUACGGAUGCGGAGGGCGGAGGUUCGAAUCCUUCCGGGACUAC